GAUGAAGAACGUAGCGAAAUGCGAUACUUGGUGUGAAUUGCAGAAUCCCGUGAACCAUCGAGUUUUUGAACGCAAGUUGCGCCCGAAGCCGUUAGGCCGAGGGCACGCCUGCCUGGGUGUCACACAUCGUUGCCCCAAUGCCAAUCGCCUCACUUUGUAGGUAUUUGCUGGGGGUGAAUGUUGGCCUCCCGUGAGCUUUGUCUCACGGUUGGUUGAAAAUCGAGUGCAUGGUGUCGGGUGUACCAUGAUGGAUGGUGGUUGAGUGAUGAUGCUCGGGACCAAUCAUGGGUAACUCCACCAGAAUUGGGCUCGGUGACCCACAUGCGUCCCUUGGAUGCUCCCUAAGGAGACCUUAGGUCAGGCGGGGCUACCCGCUGAGUUUAAGCAUAUCAAUAAGCGGAGGA
This 404-nucleotide unclassified non-coding RNA is filed under the name soil metagenome. RNAcentral describes it as "partial contains 5.8S ribosomal RNA, internal transcribed spacer 2, and large subunit ribosomal RNA". The stretch from base 1 to 122 matches the Rfam family "5.8S ribosomal RNA", at positions 35 to 154 of the family's 154-position model. The record is from RNAcentral.